AUUGAACGCUGGCGGCAUGCCUUACACAUGCAAGUCGAACGGCAGCACGGGUGCUUGCACCUGGUGGCGAGUGGCGAACGGGUGAGUAAUACAUCGGAACAUGUCCUGUAGUGGGGGAUAGCCCGGCGAAAGCCGGAUUAAUACCGAAUACGAUCUACGAAUGAAAGCGGGGGCCCUUCGGGCCUCCCGUUAUGGGGUUGGCCGAUGGCUGAUUAGCUAGUUGGUGGGGUAAAGGCCUACCAAGGCGACGAUCAGUAGCUGGUCUGAGAGGACGACCAGCCACACUGGGACUGAGACACGGCCCAGACUCCUACGGGAGGCAGCAGUGGGGAAUUUUGGACAAUGGGCGAAAGCCUGAUCCAGCAAUGCCGCGUGUGUGAAGAAGGCCUUCGGGUUGUAAAGCACUUUUGUCCGGAAAGAAAUCCUUGGCCCUAAUACGGUCGGGGGAUGACGGUACCGGAAGAAUAAGCACCGGCUAACUACGUG
RNAcentral lists this ribosomal RNA (486 nucleotides) under uncultured bacterium. Its description in RNAcentral is "partial 16S ribosomal RNA". It matches the Rfam family "Bacterial small subunit ribosomal RNA", at positions 30 to 507 of the family's 1533-position model. The record is from RNAcentral.